UAGGGGGUUGAAUAGGGGGUAGGUGAUUUCGGAUUACCUGAGAGAAAACUAUUAUGAUGGGUAUUA
RNAcentral lists this transfer RNA (66 nucleotides) under Longicollum sp. (in: thorny-headed worms). RNAcentral's name for it is "tRNA-Ile". The record is from RNAcentral. Lineage: Eukaryota; Metazoa; Acanthocephala; Palaeacanthocephala; Echinorhynchida; Pomphorhynchidae.